CAGCAGCUGCCAUUUUCCUUCUCCCCACCACAGAUUUUCCCAGUGCCAUCUUAAGCAUUCAUAUUGAAGAGAUAAGCCUCUCUGAAGGAAGUUUCACAAUAAUGGAAGGUUGAAAAGAGAACCCAAUUUAAAUCCCAGUUUAUUUAGAAGAAUGAAAACAUUGGGCAUAGGGGUUUAAAGUCUCAGAGCAUGUUCCUGUGCUCC
Molecule: long non-coding RNA, 204 nt
Filed under: Carlito syrichta (Philippine tarsier)
Lineage: Eukaryota; Metazoa; Chordata; Mammalia; Primates; Tarsiidae
Description: ZFAT antisense RNA 1 conserved region 2 (ENSTSYG00000026364.1)
Rfam family: ZFAT antisense RNA 1 conserved region 2
Source: RNAcentral